Molecule: ribosomal RNA, 234 nt
Filed under: uncultured Actinomycetales bacterium
Lineage: Bacteria; Bacillati; Actinomycetota; Actinomycetes; Actinomycetales
Description: partial 16S ribosomal RNA
Rfam family: Bacterial small subunit ribosomal RNA
Source: RNAcentral
UGGCGAACGGGUGAGUAACACGUGGGUGAUCUGCCUUGCACUCUGGGAUAAGCUUGGGAAACUGGGUCUAAUACCGGAUAGGAACCGUCUUCAGUGUGGUGGUUGGAAAGUUUUUCGGUGCAAGAUGAGCUCGCGGCCUAUCAGCUUGUUGGUGGGGUAAUGGCCUACCAAGGCGUCGACGGGUAGCCGGCCUGAGAGGGUGUACGGCCACAUUGGGACUGAGAUAAGGCCCAG